GCCUCCGGCCGUACCACCCGGAGACCGCCAGAUCUUGUCCGAUCUCAGAAGUUAAGGAGGGUCCGGCUGCUUAGUUACAUGGAUGGAAGACUGCCUGGGAAAACUGUGUGCUGUAGGCU
This 119-nucleotide ribosomal RNA is filed under the name Charadrius vociferus (killdeer). The record is from RNAcentral. Lineage: Eukaryota; Metazoa; Chordata; Aves; Charadriiformes; Charadriidae.